AUACAAAACCAAUCGUAGCAGUACGUUUUCGGGUGAAUCAUGAUAACUAUUCGAAUCGCAUGGCUUUGCCGGCGAUGGUUCAUUCAAAUUUCUGCCCUAUCAACUUUCGAUGGUAGUAUAGAGGACUACCAUGGUUAUAACGGGUAACGGAGAAUUAGGGUUCGAUUCCGGAGAGGGAGCCUGAGAAACGGCUACCACAUCCAAGGAAGGCAGCAGGCGCGCAAAUUACCCAAUCCCGAUUCGGGGAGGUAGUGACAAUAAAUAACAAUACAGAGCUCUUUGAGUUUUGUAAUUGCAAUGAGAACAAUUUAAACCUCUUAACGAGAACCAAUUGGAGGGCAAGUCUGGUGCCAGCAGCCGCGGUAAUUCCAGCUCCAAUAGCGUAUAUUAAAGUUGUUGCAGUUAAAAAGCUCGUAGUUGAACCUUUGGCUUGGCUGGGCGGUCUCUCAUCGAGAGUACUUUCUGGCCUCGUCUUUCCUUCUGGAGAAGCAUGGUGCUAUUCAUUUAGUGCUGU
This 514-nucleotide ribosomal RNA is filed under the name uncultured fungus. Its description in RNAcentral is "SSU rRNA". It matches the Rfam family "Eukaryotic small subunit ribosomal RNA", at positions 214 to 730 of the family's 1831-position model. The record is from RNAcentral. Lineage: Eukaryota; Fungi.